RNAcentral lists this ribosomal RNA (2867 nucleotides) under Salmonella enterica. RNAcentral's name for it is "partial 23S ribosomal RNA". It matches the Rfam family "Bacterial large subunit ribosomal RNA". Lineage: Bacteria; Pseudomonadati; Pseudomonadota; Gammaproteobacteria; Enterobacterales; Enterobacteriaceae. The record is from RNAcentral. RNAcentral also lists the same sequence under 1 other name.
GAUUCGUCACACUAUCAUUAACUGAAUCCAUAGGUUAAUGAGGCGAACCGGGGGAACUGAAACAUCUAAGUACCCCGAGGAAAAGAAAUCAACCGAGAUUCCCCCAGUAGCGGCGAGCGAACGGGGAGGAGCCCAGAGCCUGAAUCAGCAUGUGUGUUAGUGGAAGCGUCUGGAAAGGCGCGCGAUACAGGGUGACAGCCCCGUACACAAAAGCGCAUGUGCUGUGAGCUCGAUGAGUAGGGCGGGACACGUGGUAUCCUGUCUGAAUAUGGGGGGACCAUCCUCCAAGGCUAAAUACUCCUGACUGACCGAUAGUGAACCAGUACCGUGAGGGAAAGGCGAAAAGAACCCCGGCGAGGGGAGUGAAAAAGAACCUGAAACCGUGUACGUACAAGCAGUGGGAGCACCCUUCGGGGUGUGACUGCGUACCUUUUGUAUAAUGGGUCAGCGACUUAUAUUCUGUAGCAAGGUUAACCGUAUAGGGGAGCCGGAGGGAAACCGAGUCUUAAUUGGGCGUUAAGUUGCAGGGUAUAGACCCGAAACCCGGUGAUCUAGCCAUGGGCAGGUUGAAGGUUGGGUAACACUAACUGGAGGACCGAACCGACUAAUGUUGAAAAAUUAGCGGAUGACCUGUGGCUGGGGGUGAAAGGCCAAUCAAACCGGGAGAUAGCUGGUUCUCCCCGAAAGCUAUUUAGGUAGCGCCUCGUGAAUUCAUCUCCGGGGGUAGAGCACUGUUUCGGCUAGGGGGCCAUCCCGGCUUACCAACCCGAUGCAAACUGCGAAUACCGGAGAAUGUUAUCACGGGAGACACACGGCGGGUGCUAACGUCCGUCGUGAAGAGGGAAACAACCCAGACCGCCAGCUAAGGUCCCAAAGUCAUGGUUAAGUGGGAAACGAUGUGGGAAGGCCCAGACAGCCAGGAUGUUGGCUUAGAAGCAGCCAUCAUUUAAAGAAAGCGUAAUAGCUCACUGGUCGAGUCGGCCUGCGCGGAAGAUGUAACGGGGCUAAACCAUGCACCGAAGCUGCGGCAGCGAACGUAUCACCCAAGACAACUUUACGGAGUUGACGAUUGACGGAGCGAAGCGACGUCAAAGCGUUCAUUAAAGUCGAGUUGGCUUAGGGAUACGUUCGUUGGGUAGGGGAGCGUUCUGUAAGCCUGUGAAGGUGUGUCGUGAGGCAUGCUGGAGGUAUCAGAAGUGCGAAUGCUGACAUAAGUAACGAUAAAGCGGGUGAAAAGCCCGCUCGCCGGAAGACCAAGGGUUCCUGUCCAACGUUAAUCGGGGCAGGGUGAGUCGACCCCUAAGGCGAGGCCGAAAGGCGUAGUCGAUGGGAAACGGGUUAAUAUUCCCGUACUUGGUGUUACUGCGAAGGGGGGACGGAGAAGGCUAUGUUGGCCGGGCGACGGUUGUCCCGGUUUAAGCGUGUAGGUGUGUGUUCCAGGUAAAUCCGGUUCACUUUAACACUGAGGCGUGACGACGAGGCACUACGGUGCUGAAGCAACAAAUGCCCUGCUUCCAGGAAAAGCCUCUAAGCAUCAGGUAACACGAAAUCGUACCCCAAACCGACACAGGUGGUCAGGUAGAGAAUACCAAGGCGCUUGAGAGAACUCGGGUGAAGGAACUAGGCAAAAUGGUGCCGUAACUUCGGGAGAAGGCACGCUGACACGUAGGUGAAGUGAUUUACUCAUGGAGCUGAAGUCAGUCGAAGAUACCAGCUGGCUGCAACUGUUUAUUAAAAACACAGCACUGUGCAAACACGAAAGUGGACGUAUACGGUGUGACGCCUGCCCGGUGCCGGAAGGUUAAUUGAUGGGGUCAGCGUAAGCGAAGCUCCUGAUCGAAGCCCCGGUAAACGGCGGCCGUAACUAUAACGGUCCUAAGGUAGCGAAAUUCCUUGUCGGGUAAGUUCCGACCUGCACGAAUGGCGUAAUGAUGGCCAGGCUGUCUCCACCCGAGACUCAGUGAAAUUGAACUCGCUGUGAAGAUGCAGUGUACCCGCGGCAAGACGGAAAGACCCCGUGAACCUUUACUAUAGCUUGACACUGAACAUUGAGCCUUGAUGUGUAGGAUAGGUGGGAGGCUUUGAAGUGUGGACGCCAGUCUGCAUGGAGCCGACCUUGAAAUACCACCCUUUAAUGUUUGAUGUUCUAACGUGGACCCGUAAUCCGGGUUGCGGACAGUGUCUGGUGGGUAGUUUGACUGGGGCGGUCUCCUCCUAAAGAGUAACGGAGGAGCACGAAGGUUGGCUAAUCCUGGUCGGACAUCAGGAGGUUAGUGCAAUGGCAUAAGCCAGCUUGACUGCGAGCGUGACGGCGCGAGCAGGUGCGAAAGCAGGUCAUAGUGAUCCGGUGGUUCUGAAUGGAAGGGCCAUCGCUCAACGGAUAAAAGGUACUCCGGGGAUAACAGGCUGAUACCGCCCAAGAGUUCAUAUCGACGGCGGUGUUUGGCACCUCGAUGUCGGCUCAUCACAUCCUGGGGCUGAAGUAGGUCCCAAGGGUAUGGCUGUUCGCCAUUUAAAGUGGUACGCGAGCUGGGUUUAGAACGUCGUGAGACAGUUCGGUCCCUAUCUGCCGUGGGCGCUGGAGAACUGAGGGGGGCUGCUCCUAGUACGAGAGGACCGGAGUGGACGCAUCACUGGUGUUCGGGUUGUCAUGCCAAUGGCACUGCCCGGUAGCUAAAUGCGGAAGAGAUAAGUGCUGAAAGCAUCUAAGCACGAAACUUGCCCCGAGAUGAGUUCUCCCUGAGACUUAGAGUCUCCUGAAGGAACGUUGAAGACGACGACGUUGAUAGGCCGGGUGUGUAAGCGCAGCGAUGCGUUGAGCUAACCGGUACUAAUGAACCGUGAGGCUUAACCUUACAACGCCGAAG